Molecule: ribosomal RNA, 492 nt
Filed under: uncultured bacterium
Lineage: Bacteria
Description: partial 16S ribosomal RNA
Rfam family: Bacterial small subunit ribosomal RNA
Source: RNAcentral
AGUGAACGCUGGCGGUAGGCCUAACACAUGCAAGUCGAACGGCAGCACAGUAAGAGCUUGCUCUUACGGGUGGCGAGUGGCGGACGGGUGAGGAAUACAUCGGAAUCUACUUUUUCGUGGGGGAUAACGUAGGGAAACUUACGCUAAUACCGCAUACGACCUACGGGUGAAAGCAGGGGAUCUUCGGACCUUGCGCGAUUGAAUGAGCCGAUGUCGGAUUAGCUAGUUGGCGGGGUAAAGGCCCACCAAGGCGACGAUCCGUAGCUGGUCUGAGAGGAUGAUCAGCCACACUGGAACUGAGACACGGUCCAGACUCCUACGGGAGGCAGCAGUGGGGAAUAUUGGACAAUGGGCGCAAGCCUGAUCCAGCCAUACCGCGUGAGUGAAGAAGGCCUUCGAGUUGUAAAGCCCUUUUGUUGGGAAAGAAAAGCAGCAGGUUAAUACCCCGCUGUUCCGACGGUACCCAAAGAAUAAGCACCGGCUAACUUCGUG